UACAGAGGUCCCAAGCGUUGUUCGGAUUCACUGGGCGUAAAGAGCUCGUAGGCGGUUUGUCGCGUCUGGUGUGAAAACUCAAGGCUCAACCUUGAGCUUGCAUCGGGUACGGGCAGACUAGAGUGCGGUAGGGGUGACUGGAAUUCCUGGUGUAGCGGUGGAAUGCGCAGAUAUCGGGAGGAACACCUGUGGCGAAAGCGGCGCACUGGACCACAACUGACGCUGAGGCGCGAAAGCGUGGGGAGCGAACAGG
Molecule: ribosomal RNA, 253 nt
Filed under: uncultured bacterium
Lineage: Bacteria
Description: partial 16S ribosomal RNA
Rfam family: Bacterial small subunit ribosomal RNA
Source: RNAcentral